Molecule: long non-coding RNA, 1223 nt
Organism: Sceloporus undulatus (fence lizard)
Lineage: Eukaryota; Metazoa; Chordata; Lepidosauria; Squamata; Phrynosomatidae
Exons: 3
Source: RefSeq, a predicted model, not a curated record
CAAGGAAAUACCAAAGGACAUGGUUCAGGCUUGGGUUACCUAGAGCACAUCUGCCAACUUGUUGAAAAAAUUGGACAGCUACACAGAACACAAUCUAAAUUACAGAAAGAAAUCUGUGGUUUACAGAAGGAACAGAGAACAAGCCAACUAAAGGAGGAGUAUUUCAUACAGCAUUGCUCCUGUGGUGCUGCCAGUGUUUUGCUCAACUCAUACCAAGAAAUGAAGAAUUAUUUUCCUGGGUGGAGCAGGGCUCACAGCCUACUCAUUCAGAAUGGAAAUAUAUCUGACCUCUCUGUUAUUCCAGAAAUAGGAGGAAUCAGCGAAAAAAUCAAGCACAGAGAGGAUGAUGUUUGAUGUAUGAAGACUACGGUGCUAAACCUGCAAGGAAUAAUUAUAAUAUUGCACAUGAUCUGGUAAAAAGAUACAAUCCCCCCUUCACUCAUAUCUACUCUAUAACUAUACCUGUAAAUAGUCAUUACUUUCUUAAGCAACUUUUAAAACUGUUGCAGGAGGGCAGAUUGUACUAGUUGUAUCAAAAAUUAAGAAAAAGAACCAUUAUAACAAGUUUAUCAUUCUCCUUUGCACUUCAUCAGAUGCACAAAUGCUUUCUCAGGACAAUCAUUUUAAGCAAUAUAGCCGAGGGGCCAUCGUUAAUAUUUUAGGACUCACUAUUCAUUUUUAGGAGUAACUGAAGUGGCUUCUUUCUACCUUCACUCUGAAUUUUUUUUGCAGCAAUAAAUUGACAAUUGUUCCAAAAUAAAGAUGGUGAAAAGAAUUUUACUUGUGCAGAGAUGGAACAUUUUGUCCUCUAUCUGUUGUAGACUACAACUCCCACAAUUUUUACCAUUGGCCCUGCCGGCUAGGCUUCCAAGUGUUGAAUGCCAAAUGUCUGAAAGCCACAACUACAUUAGGGAGGAGGAGAGAAGGGCUGUUGCUUUAAAGCAGAGGUCUACAGGUUGGGGUACAUAUUGGCUGCCCAUAGGACACUGGAGGGCCAUAUCCCAUUUCAGCUAUGCCUCUAGCUUUUUAUGUUUUAAACUUCCUUUAACUACAUCUCCUGCUUUCUAUAGGCUAUCAAUGCAAUGUUUCCCAUGUUUUAGUAUCCUCUACAAGGGAAGUAAUAGUGCCAUCCUAUUUUGCUUUGGUCAGGCCUCACCUGGAAUACUGUGUCCAGUUCUGGGCACCACAAUUCAAAAAGGAUGUUGAGAAGCUGGAGUGUGUCC